RNAcentral lists this long non-coding RNA (571 nucleotides) under Homo sapiens (human). RNAcentral describes it as "non-protein coding lnc-ZNF384-1:1". The record is from RNAcentral. Lineage: Eukaryota; Metazoa; Chordata; Mammalia; Primates; Hominidae.
ACUCCCGGAAGUGACUCGGCUUCUGCACGCCCCUCUUUCUCCAUUAGCGCCCCCCCUACAUUGCUAUUUCCCUCCCUCCCCCCUUUUCGUUUCCGGCGCUCCCGCCUUCUCUCCGCAGAGCUCUUCUCUGAGCCUGUUGGGGGGAGGGAGGGGGGCGUGGAGGAACUGGGGUUCGCGGGAGCACGAGCUGCAGCACCACUUCCGGAAAGUUCAGGAGCCCUGGAAAGGAGAAGGAAUAAGACGGCAGGAGGAAGAGAGAGAGAGGGUAGAAUGGAAGAAUCUCACUUCAAUUCUAACCCGUACUUCUGGCCUUCUAUCCCCACAGUCUCAGGUCAGGUAAGUGGUGUUGCUUUCUUGCUCUCUCCAAGUCUCAGUAGUAAGUUCUGUUACUAUGGAGACUGAAGGUACACCACAUGCUGUUUUACUGGGUCCCCCACCCCUGAGAAUUAUCUAGUGUUUCUGCCUGGGCUUCUCUCUAGAAGGCCAGAGGUAUGAAGUGCUCAUCCUUGAUCCCUAAGGAGGACAGACACUGAAGUGUGCUCACGAGCAAGCAGAAUCAGCCUCUCAGGCU